GAUGAACGCUAGCUACAGGCUUAACACAUGCAAGUCGCGGGGCAGCAUGGGGGUUGCUUGCAAUCCCCGAUGGCGACCGGCGCACGGGUGAGUAACGCGUAUCCAACCUGCCCUUCACCACGGGAUAACCCGGCGAAAGUCGGACUAAUACCGUAUGUUGUCCAUUGACGGCAUCCGAUUUGGACGAAAGGGUUGGCGGGGUAGGAGGGGGUUGAGUCCGAUUAGCUGGACGGGGGGGUGACGGCGCACCGUGGCGACGAUCGGUAGGGGUACUGAGAGGAAGGUCCCCGACACUGGAACUGAGACACGGUCCAGACUCCUACGGGAGGUAGCAGUGAGGAAUAUUGGUCAAUGGGCGUAAGCCUGAACCAGCCAAGUAGCGUGCAGGAUGACGGCCCUAUGGGUUGUAAACUGCUUUUAUGCGGGGAUAAAGUGGCCCACGUGUGGGUUUUUGCAGGUACCGCAUGAAUAAGGACCGGCUAAUUCCGUG
RNAcentral lists this ribosomal RNA (490 nucleotides) under uncultured bacterium. RNAcentral's name for it is "partial 16S ribosomal RNA". It matches the Rfam family "Bacterial small subunit ribosomal RNA", at positions 28 to 507 of the family's 1533-position model. The record is from RNAcentral.